Molecule: long non-coding RNA, 326 nt
Organism: Dendronephthya gigantea
Lineage: Eukaryota; Metazoa; Cnidaria; Anthozoa; Malacalcyonacea; Nephtheidae
Exons: 4
Source: RefSeq, a predicted model, not a curated record
GAUGCUAUUAAACAGUUUAAAAAGGAAAACGAGUUUGAGCCGCUUCUGGUUUGUAUGGUAACUGUUCUGUUGGCUGAGAAAAAAUACUACGAGUUAUACCUAGGCUUUACGCCACAUCUUCCAGAACGAUACAGGAAAACGUAUAUUCAAAAAUACUCGGAUAUCACCGGGGAAGAUAUACCUGAAGAAUACGAAAAACGUAAACGGAGUGAGGAAAUGAAUCCCCACAAUAAAAAGAUACGUUCACUUCGAUAGUGAUAGCUAAAUUAUGGAGUUGUUGUGGUUUUUGUAACUGUAGAGUUUGCAACCUCGUAUCCAUGGUCUUU